UAAUGGGAUAGCUUCCCGUUAUAGUGAGUGGCUGAAUAAAUCCUACCCAACGGAUUAAGGCACACAAACCUGCUCCAACGGUCAAGUGACUGAGGAGGUGGUGAGUGGUAAGCGAUUACAAAUUAACUACUUAGGUAGUUGGGAGUCGCUUUGGGGGUCAACCAAGAAUCCCCCCUCGCACCCU
RNAcentral lists this non-coding RNA (184 nucleotides) under unclassified sequences. Its description in RNAcentral is "manA RNA". It matches the Rfam family "manA RNA". Rfam says of the family: manA RNA has been located in 5'UTR regions of genes of mannose or fructose metabolism. The record is from RNAcentral.